This is a long non-coding RNA of Carya illinoinensis, 276 nucleotides long. RefSeq lists it as uncharacterized. Lineage: Eukaryota; Viridiplantae; Streptophyta; Magnoliopsida; Fagales; Juglandaceae. The record is from RefSeq and is a predicted model, not a curated record. The transcript is spliced from 3 exons.
GAGACAAAGCCAAUUAUACUUGGAACCAAAAUAAGAGUUGGUUCUUAUAAUGGAUUAUCUCUAUCAUCACGUCCGAAAAGUAAAUUUAUGAUCAAUCCUGUUAUUCCUGAGGCAACUUCAUUGCAAGAGUGGGCAGCGAUUAAUGAUUUAUUACUCAAGAGUAUUAUUGCAAAAAACUUGACACACCCAUCUGCAUCUCUAUCUUCUGUUGGCAUUCGGGAAAUAAUCAAGAAUUGUGAUGUUGCUGAAUUCAUCAAAAGUUUGCAACCCAUGGCG